This 23-nucleotide non-coding RNA is filed under the name Mus musculus (house mouse). The record is from RNAcentral. Lineage: Eukaryota; Metazoa; Chordata; Mammalia; Rodentia; Muridae.
UGGGGAGGCCCUGAUGGCACUGG